ACAUCAGCCAUCAACACGAGAUUGAGUUGAGGAGGACAACUAUUCCAAAUCUUCAAAGUAUCAUUGCAAGAGGCUCCAGUCUUCGCAAGCCAAUCGGCACAUUCAUUACCCUCUCUAAGAGUAUGCUGAAAAGAAACAUUUCAAUCCCCCUGGUGAAGAUGACGAAUUUGUUGGAUAAGCGGUGCAUAAGAGUGAAAGUGAGAAGUUCCAUGAGAAGCAAAAUUAACUGUUAGAGUGGAAUCUGAUUCAAUGAUAAUAUUUCUAAGUCCUUUAGUUUGAGCAAUCUUG
This 288-nucleotide long non-coding RNA is filed under the name Trifolium pratense (red clover). RNAcentral describes it as "long non-coding RNA (TPRA_LNC012724)". The record is from RNAcentral. Lineage: Eukaryota; Viridiplantae; Streptophyta; Magnoliopsida; Fabales; Fabaceae.